UUCACGAUAAUGCUGAACAAGAGAUGGCUCCGUAUUUUCGAAACGCUGCAUCGCGACACAUCCAACCCCAUGGACUCCAACGUUUUCAGUAACCGAAUCUGAACGCGAGGCUGCUGUCGGCAUGUCAUCUCGAUAACAACCUGAUUCUUCACAUACUGGAUUGAAUCCUUGAUCACGGUCGCCCUGUCACGCUAUAGAAAAUAUCCAAACAAACAUCCGUGUUUGGUCACUCGACAUAGAAUAUAAAAGCUUGUCACCGAUAGAUCUAACGGGGUAAUACCGCAACAAGUAUAACUUCAAUGUGUUAGUGAUCAUGGAUUGCAUUGAUUAUUUCACACAGCAUUCAAGCAUGUAAACUUCUGCAUGAACCGUCGGUAUUGCCUACAACAACUGUUACAAGUUGUGGAUGAUGCUUAACAAAGGGGAUGUAGAUACUUAGAGGUGGUCAGAGGUCAUGUAAACCCAGAUCAGGUUCACUACUGGACCUCUAUAUUCCGCUGGUAAAUACCGUAUGUAUGCACUGUUUUGGAGCCAGCGUAAUAUAAAUGAAAAUUAACGCCA
Molecule: non-coding RNA, 561 nt
Organism: Physcomitrium patens
Lineage: Eukaryota; Viridiplantae; Streptophyta; Bryopsida; Funariales; Funariaceae
Source: RefSeq, a predicted model, not a curated record